AGGAUAAACGCUGGCGGCGUGCCUAACACAUGCAAGUCGAACGCGCUUUCGGGCUUCGGUGCGAGAGCGAGUGGCGGACGGGUGAGUAACACAUGGGUACCUACCUUGGAGUGAGGGAUACCGGCGAGAAAUUGCCGACAAGACCGCAUACGCUUCUCUUUUCAAGGGGAGAAGGAAAGCUUUUCGCAAGAGAGGCGCUGGGAGAUGGGCCUGCGGCCGAUUAGCUAGCUGGUGGGGUAAUGGCCUACCAGGGCGACGAUCGGUAGCUGGUCUGAGAGGACGAUCAGCCACACUGGGAUUGAGAACGGCCCAGACUCCUACGGGGGGCAGCAGUGAGGAAUUUUCGGCAAUGGGGGCAACCCUGACCGAGCAACGCCGCGUGCAGGACGACGGCCUUCGGGUUGUAAACUGCUUUUCUCUGGGACGAGCAAGGACGGUACCAGAGGAAGAACGCCCGGCUAACUACGUGCCAGCAGCCGC
This 480-nucleotide ribosomal RNA is filed under the name uncultured bacterium. RNAcentral describes it as "SSU rRNA". It matches the Rfam family "Bacterial small subunit ribosomal RNA", at positions 26 to 518 of the family's 1533-position model. The record is from RNAcentral.